Herpailurus yagouaroundi (jaguarundi) is the source of this 1388-nucleotide long non-coding RNA. RefSeq lists it as uncharacterized. Lineage: Eukaryota; Metazoa; Chordata; Mammalia; Carnivora; Felidae. The record is from RefSeq and is a predicted model, not a curated record. The transcript has 3 exons.
CCCCCGCUUGCGCUCUCUCUCUCUCACUCUCUCAAAAUAAAUAAAAAUAAACUUAAAAAGAAAAGAAAAGAAAGGACACCUGCUUAUAGAUACGGACCUGUAGGAGAGCUCUGCGGAGAAAGCAGGCUAGAUAUGCUUAGCCCAGAUUGCACCAGGCUGCAAUCUGCCUGCAAGUCUAGAAAAGUCCACCCCCACCUGUCACUCACAUUUAAAAAUAUGUGCUCUCACUGCUAUUGCUGCUGCCGCCGUUCACGUGGGCAAAGCACUAAGAUGGCUCCAGGCCGACCAAGCGACCCAGGCUGCUAAGGCGCAGGUCCUGUGGAUCGCUGGGACCGGGCCUCAGAGGCCGGUCAGCACUGACUCUCCGGGGAGUGGUUCCACUUUGAUUUCCCUUGUGUCAAGCCGGGACGCCCCACGACGGUAAUUUUGAGACAAGUGUGGCAGUGCUCUUUCUCCCUCCUGCUUCGAUAGGUUGGUGACGUUUCCACUCCCAGCCCUGCCGAAGGCUAGGCUAAUUUCAGUCAGAAUGCCUCCCCUGGGUUAUUUUCUGGGGCCCCAGGAAGUGUGAGGUAUGUGCAUCUUCUCCCACAUUGCGGGGAGGUGCCCUGGAUUUACCCGGAGAGGCUUGUUCAACCAGGUGGGAGCGACUCGAGGACGCUUCCGUCCGCCUUCCAGCGCUUUCCGUCCUGCUACCAAAGACAGCCGAGGCAGCCCAUUUCGCUCCCCUGGCUUGACUUGGGAAGUUAAUAAGAUCAUAAGCUGAAGACCUAAGAACUGGCAAACUGUGCCAAGACGAAAAUCUCAGACUCCCCUGGGGAGAGAAAUAUUCGCUUGCCCUCCUGAAGAGGAGUCUCUUUUUGAAAGCAGUGGGGUCUCCCUCCACGUUAUGAUAGUUUCCCUCUCACCUCGAUAUUGUGGCCAACUGCAAAUUAAAACAGUGCUCUUUCCUGGCUUAUACUGUCUUAUCUGCUUGGCUUGGCAUUAGUCCUUAGGAGAAAUCUGGUCUCUCCUUCUUCCCCAGGGAAUUCUAAAUACUCUGCGGGGUUUUCUCCGCCCCCCCCCCCCAGAAGUCAUCGGUGAUGAUAAAAACAAACAGAUUUCGACGGCAUUUUAAACGUGUUAGUUAUCGAAGACCUAAUCAACCACCUGGACUUUUGACAUUUAUUGCGUGCUGAGAAUAUCACAGAAGAGGCGUCCAGUAAAUUUUUGUGGAAUGAUCGUCGAACCCGCACAGCAAAAGGACCUGCUAACCCUCACAUCUCAAGAGAAGCAGUAUACAGAACAACCGUCAAGAAAAGCAAUCAGUCGGGGUGCCUGGGUGGCUCAGUCGGUGAAGCGUCCGACUUCGGCUCAGGUCGUGAUCUCACGGUCCGUGAGUUUGAGCCCCG